CUACACAUGCAGUCGAGCGGUAGCACAGAGAGCUUGCUCUCGGGUGUACGAGCGGCGGACGGGUGAGUAAUGUCUGGGAAACUGCCUGAUGGAGGGGGAUAACUACUGGAAACGGUAGCUAAUACCGCAUAAUGUCGCAAGACCAAAGUGGGGGACCUUCGGGCCUCAUGCCAUCAGAUGUGCCCAGAUGGGAUUAGCUAGUAGGUGGGGUAACGGCUCACCUAGGCGACGAUCCCUAGCUGGUCUGAGAGGAUGACCAGCCACACUGGAACUGAGACACGGUCCAGACUCCUACGGGAGGCAGCAGUGGGGAAUAUUGCACAAUGGGCGCAAGCCUGAUGCAGCCAUGCCGCGUGUGUGAAGAAGGCCUUCGGGUUGUAAAGCACUUUCAGCGGGGAGGAAGGCGUUAAGGUUAAUAACCUUGGCGAUUGACGUUACCCGCAGAAGAAGCACCGGCUAACUCCGUGCCAGCAGCCGCGGUAAUACGGAGGGGUGCAAGCGUUAAUCGGAAUUACUGGGCGUAAAGCGCACGCAGGCGGUCUGUCAAGUCGGAUGUGAAAUCCCCGGGCUCAACCUGGGAACUGCAUUCGAAACUGGCAGGCUAGAGUCUUGUAGAGGGGGGUAGAAUUCCAGGUGUAGCGGUGAAAUGCGUAGAGAUCUGGAGGAAUACCGGUGGCGAAGGCGGCCCCCUGGACAAAGACUGACGCUCAGGUGCGAAAGCGUGGGGAGCAAACAUGGAUUAAGAAUACCUGGUAGUCCACGCCGUAAACGAUGUCGAAUUGGGAGGUUGUGGUCAUGAAGGCGGUGCACCGGGAGCCUACGCGUAAAUCGACGGCCUGGGGGAGAUUACGGGCCGCCAAGGAU
RNAcentral lists this ribosomal RNA (864 nucleotides) under Klebsiella sp. SS6. RNAcentral's name for it is "bacterial SSU rRNA". It matches the Rfam family "Bacterial small subunit ribosomal RNA", at positions 49 to 873 of the family's 1533-position model. Lineage: Bacteria; Pseudomonadati; Pseudomonadota; Gammaproteobacteria; Enterobacterales; Enterobacteriaceae. The record is from RNAcentral.